GCAACCUUCUCCGAUUGAAUCGAUCCGAGCAAUUCACAUUGAUGGCGCCCCUUACGUGGGAGGAGAAAAGAAGAAAUAGGUUAUUCUCGGUUACGAGAACGAGGUGUUCAGGAGAGCGUUGGCACGCGGGUGCGACGUCCCCCGUGCCUGGCUCGUUUCGUCAACAUUUCCGGUUGCGCUGUGCUACCACGAUAGGGGGCCGGAAGUAAACACGAUGCUGACCGUGUGAUCGACCGAGCGUGCUCGAUAGAUCCGUUCACGGCGGCCGACGAGCUGAGACUGAACGGCUCGUCCCCACGGAACGCCCGAUCGCGAUCUACGAGUACUACCAACGCGAGGCCACGGCCCGGCUUGGCCAUCGUGUGAGUGCCUUUCUAUACGAACUUACUCGUGUGAGUGA
This 400-nucleotide unclassified non-coding RNA is filed under the name Bombus terrestris (buff-tailed bumblebee). Its description in RNAcentral is "misc RNA ENSBTSG00005038265.1". Lineage: Eukaryota; Metazoa; Arthropoda; Insecta; Hymenoptera; Apidae. The record is from RNAcentral.